RNAcentral lists this ribosomal RNA (533 nucleotides) under Cryptosporidium bovis. RNAcentral's name for it is "SSU rRNA". It matches the Rfam family "Eukaryotic small subunit ribosomal RNA", at positions 341 to 914 of the family's 1831-position model. Lineage: Eukaryota; Apicomplexa; Conoidasida; Eucoccidiorida; Cryptosporidiidae. The record is from RNAcentral.
CUGCUCGAGGCUUGACGGGUACGGGGAUUAGGGUUCGAUUCCGGAGAGGGAGCCUGAGAAACGGCUACCACAUCUAAGGAAGGCAGCAGGCGCGCAAAUUACCCAAUCCUAAUACAGGGAGGUAGUGACAAGAAAUAACAAUACAGAACCUUACGGUUUUGUAAUUGGAAUGAGUUAAGUAUAAACCCCUUAACAAGUAUCAAUUGGAGGGCAAGUCUGGUGCCAGCAGCCGCGGUAAUUCCAGCUCCAAUAGCGUAUAUUAAAGUUGUUGCAGUUAAAAAGCUCGUAGUUAAUCUUCUGUUAAUUUUUAUAUAUAAUAUCACGAUAUUUAUAUAAUAUUAACAUAAUUCAUAUUACUUUUUAGUAUAUGAAACUUUACUUUGAGAAAAUUAGAGUGCUUAAAGCAGGCUAUUGCCUUGAAUACUCCAGCAUGGAAUAAUAUUAAGGAUUUUUAUUCUUCUUAUUGGUUCUAGAAUAAAAAUGAUGAUUAAUAGGGACAGUUGGGGGCAUUUGUAUUUAACAGUCAGAGGAAA